UCUCCGUUGGUGAACCAGCGGAGGGAUCAUUACCGAGUUUACAACUCCCAGACCCCUGUGAACAUACCUAUCGUUGCCUCGGCGGUGCCCGCUCCGGCGGCCCGCCAGAGGACCCCCAAACUCUUGUUUUAUACAGUAUCUUCUGAGUAACACGAUUAAAUAAAUCAAAACUUUCAACAACGGAUCUCUUGGUUCUG
Molecule: unclassified non-coding RNA, 197 nt
Filed under: plant metagenome
Description: partial contains small subunit ribosomal RNA, internal transcribed spacer 1, and 5.8S ribosomal RNA
Source: RNAcentral